Molecule: ribosomal RNA, 487 nt
Filed under: uncultured bacterium
Lineage: Bacteria
Description: bacterial SSU rRNA
Rfam family: Bacterial small subunit ribosomal RNA
Source: RNAcentral
AUUGAACGCUAGCGGCAUGCCUUACACAUGCAAGUCGAACGGCAGGCACGGGGGGCAACCCUGGUGGCGAGUGGCGAACGGGUGAGUAAUGCAUCGGAACGUGCCCAUCGAUGGGGGAUAACUGCGCGAAAGCGUUGCUAAUACCGCAUACGACCUACGGGUGAAAGCAGGGGACCGCAAGGCCUUGCGUCGAUGGAGCGGCCGAUGCCGGAUUAGCUAGUUGGUGAGGUAAAGGCUCACCAAGGCGACGAUCCGUAGCUGGUCUGAGAGGACGACCCAGCCACACUGGGACUGAGACACGGCCCAGACUCCUACGGGAGGCAGCAGUGGGGAAUCUUGGACAAUGGGCGAAAGCCUGAUCCAGCAAUGCCGCGUGUGGGAAGAAGGCCUUCGGGUUGUAAACCACUUUUGGCGGGAAAGAAAUGGUCUGUGCUAAUACCACGGAUUGAUGACGGUACCCGCAGAAUAAGCACCGGCUAACUACGUG